GUAGGUGGCAAGCGUUGUCCGGAAUUAUUGGGCGUAAAGCGCGCGCAGGCGGGGUCCUUUAAGUCUGAUGUGAAAGCCCACGGGCUCAACCGUGGAGGGUCAUUGGAAACUGGGGGACUUGAGUACAGAAGAGGAAAGCGGAGUUCCAAGUGUAGCGGUGAAAUGCGUAGAGAUUUGGAGGAACACCAGUGGCGAAGGCGGCUUUCUGGUCUGUAACUGACGCUGAGGCGCGAAAGCGUGGGGAGCAAACAGGAUUAGAUACCCUGGUAGUCCACGCCGUAAACGAUGAGUGCUAAGUGUUAGGGGGUUUCCGCCCCUUAGUGCUGCAGCUAACGCAUUAAGCACUCCGCCUGGGGAGUACGGCCGCAAAGGCUG
This 375-nucleotide ribosomal RNA is filed under the name uncultured organism. RNAcentral describes it as "partial 16S ribosomal RNA". It matches the Rfam family "Bacterial small subunit ribosomal RNA", at positions 527 to 896 of the family's 1533-position model. The record is from RNAcentral.